UACCAGCACCCCGAGUGGUCGGGACGUUUAUUGGGCCUAAAGCAUCCGUAGCCGGUUCUACAAGUCUUCCGUUAAAUCCACCUGCUUAACAGAUGGGCUGCGGAAGAUACUAUAGAGCUAGGAGGCGGGAGAGGCAAGCGGUACUCGAUGGGUAGGGGUAAAAUCCGUUGAUCCAUUGAAGGCCACCAGUGGCGAAGGCGGCUUGCCAGAACGCACUCGACGGUGAGGGAUGAAAGCUGGGGGAGCAAACCGG
Molecule: ribosomal RNA, 253 nt
Filed under: uncultured bacterium
Lineage: Bacteria
Description: partial 16S ribosomal RNA
Rfam family: Archaeal small subunit ribosomal RNA
Source: RNAcentral